UGGGGAAUUUUGGACAAUGGGCGAAAGCCUGAUCCAGCAAUGCCGCGUGUGUGAAGAAGGCCUUCGGGUUGUAAAGCACUUUUGUCCGGAAAGAAAUCCUUGGCUCUAAUACAGUCGGGGGAUGACGGUACCGGAAGAAUAAGCACCGGCUAACUACGUGCCAGCAGCCGCGGUAAUACGUAGGGUGCAAGCGUUAAUCGGAAUUACUGGGCGUAAAGCGUGCGCAGGCGGUUUGCUAAGACCGAUGUGAAAUCCCCGGGCUCAACCUGGGAACUGCAUUGGUGACUGGCAGGCUAGAGUAUGGCAGAGGGGGUAGAAUUCCACGUGUAGCAGUGAAAUGCGUAGAGAUGUGGAGGAAUACCGAUGGCGAAGGCAGCCCCCUGGGCCAAUACUGACGCUCAUGCACGAAAGCGUGGGGAGCAAAACAGGAUUAGAUACCCUGGUAGUCCACGCCCUAAAACGAUGUCAACUAGUUGUUGGGGAUUCAUUUCCUUAGUAACGUAGCUAACGCGUGAAGUUGACCGCCUGGGGAGUACGGUCGCAAGAUUAAAACUUAAAUGAAUUGACGGGGUCAUAGCUGUUUCCU
This 586-nucleotide ribosomal RNA is filed under the name uncultured bacterium. Its description in RNAcentral is "partial 16S ribosomal RNA". It matches the Rfam family "Bacterial small subunit ribosomal RNA", at positions 355 to 1375 of the family's 1533-position model. The record is from RNAcentral.